UUACAACUUUCAACAAUGGAUCUCUUGGCUCUGGCAUCGAUGAAGAACGCAGCGAAAUGCGAUAAGUAGUGUGAAUUGCAGAAUUCAGUGAAUCAUCGAAUCUUUGAACGCACAUUGCGCCCCUUGGUAUUCCAUGGGGCAUGCCUGUUCGAGCGUCAU
RNAcentral lists this ribosomal RNA (159 nucleotides) under foliar endophyte of Picea glauca sp. J2. RNAcentral's name for it is "5.8S ribosomal RNA". It matches the Rfam family "5.8S ribosomal RNA". Rfam says of the family: 5.8S ribosomal RNA (5.8S rRNA) is a component of the large subunit of the eukaryotic ribosome. Lineage: Eukaryota; Fungi; Ascomycota. RNAcentral also lists the same sequence under 8 other names. The record is from RNAcentral.